CCUACGGGGGCAGCAGUGGGGAAUAUUGGACAAUGGGCGAAAGCCUGAUCCAGCCAUGCCGCGUGUGUGAAGAAGGCCUUCGGGUUGUAAAGCACUUUCAGUGGGGAAGAAAGCCUUGGGGCUAAUACCCUCGAGGAAGGACAUCACCCACAGAAGAAGCACCGGCUAACUCCGUGCCAGCAGCCGCGGUAAUACGGAGGGUGCGAGCGUUAAUCGGAAUUACUGGGCGUAAAGCGCGCGUAGGCGGUCUGAUAAGCCGGUUGUGAAAGCCCCGGGCUCAACCUGGGAACGGCAUCCGGAACUGUCAGGCUAGAGUGCAGGAGAGGAAGGUAGAAUUCCCGGUGUAGCAGUGAAAUGCGUAGAGAUCGGGAGGAAUACCAGUGGCGAAGGCGGCCUUCUGGACUGACACUGACGCUGAGGUGCGAAAGCGUGGGUAGCAAACAGGAUUAGAUACCCCAGUAGUC
Molecule: ribosomal RNA, 464 nt
Filed under: Vreelandella stevensii
Lineage: Bacteria; Pseudomonadati; Pseudomonadota; Gammaproteobacteria; Oceanospirillales; Halomonadaceae
Description: partial 16S ribosomal RNA
Rfam family: Bacterial small subunit ribosomal RNA
Source: RNAcentral